Molecule: ribosomal RNA, 619 nt
Filed under: Methylobacterium mesophilicum
Lineage: Bacteria; Pseudomonadati; Pseudomonadota; Alphaproteobacteria; Hyphomicrobiales; Methylobacteriaceae
Description: bacterial SSU rRNA
Rfam family: Bacterial small subunit ribosomal RNA
Source: RNAcentral
GGGUGUCAGCGGCGGACGGGUGAGUAACGCGUGGGAACGUGCCCUCUGGUUCGGAAUAACUCAGGGAAACUUGAGCUAAUACCGGAUACGCCCUUUUGGGGAAAGGCUUGCUGCCGGAGGAUCGGCCCGCGUCUGAUUAGCUAGUUGGUGAGGUAACGGCUCACCAAGGCGACGAUCAGUAGCUGGUCUGAGAGGAUGAUCAGCCACACUGGGACUGAGACACGGCCCAGACUCCUACGGGAGGCAGCAGUGGGGAAUAUUGGACAAUGGGCGCAAGCCUGAUCCAGCCAUGCCGCGUGAGUGAUGAAGGCCUUAGGGUUGUAAAGCUCUUUUAUCCGGGACGAUAAUGACGGUACCGGAGGAAUAAGCCCCGGCUAACUUCGUGCCAGCAGCCGCGGUAAUACGAAGGGGGCUAGCGUUGCUCGGAAUCACUGGGCGUAAAGGGCGCGUAGGCGGCGUUUUAAGUCGGGGGUGAAAGCCUGUGGCUCAACCACAGAAUGGCCUUCGAUACUGGGACGCUUGAGUAUGGUAGAGGUUGGUGGAACUGCGAGUGUAGAGGUGAAAUUCGUAGAUAUUCGCAAGAACACCGGUGGCGAAGGCGGCCAACUGGACCAUUACU